CCGUGCUUGAGGUGCGGCGAACGCGGGUACUUCUAGUCGAGUUUCUGAGGACGCGGUGGUUUGUGAAGGUGCACGAACAGGAGACACAAUGAGCGGCCACGGCAAGGGGGGAAGCAAGGAGAAGUCCAAGGGCGACAAGAAAGACAAGAAGCCCAAGAAGGACAAGAAGGACAAGAAGGACGGGAAGGACGGGAAGGACGGGAAGAAGAAAUGCUCCGGGAAAGAAUCAGGCUCAGGCUCAAGCUCAAGCUCAAGCUCAGGAUCGAGCUCCGACUCCAGCUGUGAUGAGAAAUGAUGCUGCGAGCGGACCGCUGUCAGCCGAUCGACUAAACUCACCCAUCAGGUCACCGCUGUGAAAGAAACAUGCCGAUCUUGUGUAAACAAACCUGCUGAUAAAAUGUUCUGUCAAACAUAAAGUGCGUUUCCUUCUUCACAAGUGA
This is a long non-coding RNA of Pseudoliparis swirei, 440 nucleotides long. RefSeq lists it as uncharacterized. NCBI's taxonomy places the organism in Eukaryota, Metazoa, Chordata, Actinopteri, Perciformes, Liparidae. The record is from RefSeq and is a predicted model, not a curated record. The transcript has 3 exons.